Long non-coding RNA from Meriones unguiculatus (Mongolian gerbil), 850 nucleotides. RefSeq lists it as uncharacterized. NCBI's taxonomy places the organism in Eukaryota, Metazoa, Chordata, Mammalia, Rodentia, Muridae. The record is from RefSeq and is a predicted model, not a curated record. The transcript has 6 exons.
AUGGCUCUGGGGUAGAUGAGGGGUCAGCUCAGAUACGCAGACGCAUCCAAGGUCAUAUGGGCAGGCAGGGAGUAUGCUCCCAAGCUUCCUGUCUCUGAAGUGCUUGUGACUUUGACCGUGGUGCCCUUUAGCUCUGGUGAUCUUGGCCAGUCUCCCAGCAUGUUCCUGCUCUCCAGUUGUCUAAAGAUGGCAGACACCAUUAUAACUGAAGACCAUUUGCUGUUCUCCCCUGAAGCUAGAGAUGUGUUCAGAGACUGCCUGGGUUCUCGGAUGAAAAUGACUGAAUAGCUAGCCAUAACCAACACACAAUGGCCACAACAUGCAGGUCCAGUCAGGCCAGCCGCCUUACACUCUUUGCCAUCAGGACUUCCUCCGCCGUGACACCCUGGAACUGUGACCCAAAAUAUACCUUAACCCUUCUUACGUUGUUUCCAAAAAAUGUUUUUUUCACGGCGUCUAGCCAGGGCAAUAUUUCAGAGGGAACCUCCCCACCAAAGCACCGCAGUUGUUUACAGUUGCCAGGCCCAACCGAGGCGGGAAGUUACAUGCCCCGGACAGGAAUGCAAGCACUUCAGGAGGCUCUGGAAACCAUCUUGGAGGCCUCAAGAUGCUGGUGCUUGCUGUGUCUCUAGGGGUCUUGCAACAUCUUCAUGUACCUGAGGACAGGAGAAGGCUAAAGGGAUGUAUUUGAGUCAUAGCUGUUGCAUUUAGGACAAAUAAAGGCUCACUGGGAUGUUGAAAGAAAAAGGCGGAAUGGAGUCCCCAGCCCAGCCAAGGCAGCGUGCACCGUUGAGCCAGGCCAGCUGUGCCAGGCAAUAAUUCAUCCUGGUUAAGUGGCAGCUUGCCUCCA